Molecule: ribosomal RNA, 474 nt
Filed under: uncultured bacterium
Lineage: Bacteria
Description: bacterial SSU rRNA
Rfam family: Bacterial small subunit ribosomal RNA
Source: RNAcentral
ACUCCUACGGGAGGCAGCAGUGGGGAAUAUUGGACAAUGGGGGGAACCCUGAUCCAGCCAUGCCGCGUGUGUGAAGAAGGCCUUAUGGUUGUAAAGCACUUUAAGCGAGGAGGAGGCUACUAGUAUUAAUACUACUGGAUAGUGGACGUUACUCGCAGAAUAAGCACCGGCUAACUCUGUGCCAGCAGCCGCGGUAAUACGGAGGGUGCGAGCGUUAAUCGGAAUUACUGGGCGUAAAGCGCGUGUAGGUGGCUUGUUAAGCCAGAUGUGAAAGCCCCGGGCUCAACCUGGGAACUGCAUUUGGAACUGGCAGGCUAGAGUUUUGUAGAGGGUGGUAGAAUUUCAGGUGUAGCGGUGAAAUGCGUAGAGAUCUGAAGGAAUACCGGUGGCGAAGGCGACCACCUGGCCAAUAACUGACACUGAGACGCGAAGGCGUGGGUAGCAAACGGGAUUAGAUACCCUGGUAGCGAGUAG